Molecule: long non-coding RNA, 809 nt
Organism: Physeter macrocephalus (sperm whale)
Lineage: Eukaryota; Metazoa; Chordata; Mammalia; Artiodactyla; Physeteridae
Exons: 3
Source: RefSeq, a predicted model, not a curated record
GACUGUGCAGGCUGUCCGACCGGGCGCCCCCAGCGCCCCCCUCUGGUGGGAAAACGAACUCCUCUCCCUGGGGCCGGGUCACGUAAAUAGGACUGGGUCCGGCCUCCUCACCCUGACCCCACAAGGACCCUGAUAUCUGUCUACUCCAGUAAAUUCUGAGGGUUCCCAAACACAGCCCUGAGGCGUGGCCAUCAUUUCCUGGACUUCGGGACCUGACUUUGUGAAGACUUCUUUUGGGAACCUCGGAGAGCUCCGAGGCGACCCCGGCCCAGGAGGAAAAGGAGUGGAAGGAUAUGGAACAACUAGCUAACAUUUGUUAUCUCGGGAGAGGAAAGUGGAAUUGGGUGGUGGCCAAGAGGAACAAAAGCUGAGCAGGCCCAGAAAACAAGGAAGGAAGUGGCUGACCACCUGGCUGCUGUGAAAGAUAAACGAGCUGGGAUCUGAGUGGAACAUGUUAUCGGAGAAGACUACCUCGUGGAGGCCGUGGAGAUCCUGGAGCUGUACUGUGACCUGCUGCUGGCUCGGUUCAGCUUGAUCCAGGCCACAAAGUGAGACCUGUUGAACUUGCAUCACUGGCAGGCUCAAAGGAAUGACAAGGCAUCCCUGCCACCUAGUGAGGGAGGGGGUGGUCUCUAACUUGUUGGGACUGUGUCAAAGAACACCGUCUCUACUUAAUGGAGAACUAGUCCUGCUUGACAAGAACAUGUCAGUCCACAGAGCCAUUUUUAAAACCAAAUAGUUGUGUUUUCCCCCCUGAGCUGUAAAGACAUAGUAUAAAUAUGUAGAAAAGUUGGGAAAUACAAAAAAGA